UAUAACACCUGGAAAGGUAAUAAAAUCUCAUGCAUGUAGUAGAAUUUGCAAUAAUAAUGAAUAUGUUGCAGUCCUCAAGUGGCUCUGGUUUGCUUCUUUCCCUUGAUUGAACAUAACAAUGAUAUUGAGUUAAAGGGCAAUCUUAAUCAUUGUUGCAUACAAAUUUUACGUGCAUUAGUGCUUUGGAAAGUUUUGUCAAGAGAGAAUGAUGCCUAGAUCUGUGCUCAAGAUGCAAUUUUACUUACUUUGCAUUCAUAUCUGGUGUGCAAGUUUGGGAGUAUAUGCAUAAAUGAUUUCAAAAAUAGCAUGCUACUCUCGCAUUGCACUAAAAUUUAUGUCAGUGAUGUGGAAUGUUUUAAAUGGGCUGCUUGUAUCAAUUCUUUAUGCAAUAUGGGCGACGCCUGUAUUGACCCCACACUGCCUCUUGUACACCACACCUGUCCUGGCUGCAUUCCUGGAUGCUAAGGGGAUAAAAUGUUUUCCCAGUCACUUCAUUG
Molecule: unclassified non-coding RNA, 497 nt
Filed under: Hevea brasiliensis (rubber tree)
Lineage: Eukaryota; Viridiplantae; Streptophyta; Magnoliopsida; Malpighiales; Euphorbiaceae
Source: RNAcentral